Molecule: transfer RNA, 82 nt
Filed under: Ekhidna sp.
Lineage: Bacteria; Pseudomonadati; Bacteroidota; Cytophagia; Cytophagales; Reichenbachiellaceae
Description: tRNA-Leu
Rfam family: tRNA
About the family: Transfer RNA (tRNA) molecules are approximately 80 nucleotides in length. Their secondary structure includes four short double-helical elements and three loops (D, anti-codon, and T loops).
Source: RNAcentral
GCCAAAGUGGCGGAAUUGGUAGACGCGCACGACUCAAACUCGUGUUCCUUUGGGAGUGAGGGUUCGAUCCCCUCCUUUGGUA